Molecule: ribosomal RNA, 455 nt
Filed under: uncultured bacterium
Lineage: Bacteria
Description: bacterial SSU rRNA
Rfam family: Bacterial small subunit ribosomal RNA
Source: RNAcentral
UACGGAAGGCAGCAGUGGGGAAUAUUGCACAAUGGGCGAAAGCCUGAUGCAGCUAUGCCGCGUGUAUGAAGAAGGCCUUAGGGUUGUAAAGUACUUUCAUCGGGGAGGAAAAAACAAAACUAAUAAUUUUAUUUCUUGACGUUACCCGAAAAAGAAGCACCGGCUAACUCCGUGCCAGCAGCCGCGGUAAUACGGAGGGUGCUAGCGUUAAUCAGAAUUACUGGGCGUAAAGAGCACGUAGGUGGUUUUUUAAGUCAGAUGUGAAAUCCCUGGGCUUAACCUGGAACUGCAUUUUGAAACUGAAAUACUAGAGUAUCGUAGAGGGAGGUAGAAUUCUAGGUGUAGCGGUGAAAUGCGUAGAUAUCUGGAGGAAUACCUGUGGCGAAAGCGGCCUCCUAAACGAAUACUGACACUGAGGUGCGAAAAGCGUGGGGAGCGAAACAGGGAUUAGGAUA